This is a long non-coding RNA of Helianthus annuus (common sunflower), 1037 nucleotides long. RefSeq lists it as uncharacterized. NCBI's taxonomy places the organism in Eukaryota, Viridiplantae, Streptophyta, Magnoliopsida, Asterales, Asteraceae. The record is from RefSeq and is a predicted model, not a curated record. The transcript is spliced from 6 exons.
GCGAGUGUGUGAUCUUGGCUCGAUGUCAUGUUCGUAUGUUAUGGCGGGCCACACCGACGUGGCAUUAUGUUUAUGUCGUUUAGAUACCUGUACAAUAAGCUCUGGAAGGACAUUAAUUGUAACAUGUUGCAAAUAUAACAAUAAAUUACUGUUAAUCAUAAAUCAGUAAAACUUGCUGAUUUUGGUCUGGCAAGAGAAGAAUCAUUAACAGAGAUGAGGAUUGCAGAAACUGGAACUAUUGCUGGAUGGCUCCUAAGCUUUACUCAGGAGUCGAGGAAAAAAAGCAUUAUCACAAAGUAGACGCCAUCUAUUUUGCAAUUGUAACGUGGGAGUGCAUACACAAGUUACCAUUCCAAGGCAUGUCAAAUCUACAUGCUGCCUAUGCAAGUGCUUUUAAGGUAUGUCUUAGCACUCGAGGUUGAGGAGUUUGUAGAAGCCCAAUCGAUUUAAAGAGCAGAUGACGGUCAAGUUUAUUAAUUGAAGUAAAAUGUUAUGUUACGUUUUUUAACUUACAAUAAGUUAUUAAUUUGAAGUUAAAUGUUGACUGAUGCCAUAUCAUGUAUUUAUGGUGCUGGCCUCUUGUAGGAACUUUAAAAAGAUGUUCUUUUUAAUGUUUAUACCUUUAAACGAAAAGGACAUUAAAAGUUCUUUUCUUCAUCUUCUUGCCAUCUAAAUUGCAGGAAAAAAGGGUUGGUUUUCCUUUUUCUAUAUAUGGUUUUUGAAAUUUCCUCAAUUUCAGCAUAAGGAUCUUUUCGUAACUUGAGAAAGUUAUGCAGAGCUCGCAUAAAUCAUGGCUAUAUUUAACAAAAAGGAGAAGAUUAUCAAUUUAAAAGGAUUUGCUAAUGCAUUUUCUUGUGCUAGCAAUACGUACGUCUGGAAACUAAGAUGUGGAGCAUGCGGAGCCAAUCAAGAAGAAAGGCUUUGUAAAAAGUAAUAAUUUUAUAGGUAGAAAACAUACCAGAAGUAAUAAAUUUUAUUAUAAGUUUAUUGGUUAUAGAUGACCAAUAGUGCAUUUUUAUUUUAUUUUCAUCCUCAAA